AAAGAAGUUUGGAACAUUUGUUGUCUCCGUUUCUUUAGAAUAGCGAUUUUAUUGUGGUUUGUCCACUGAUAUAAGGAGCAUAUGAUGUUUUACUAAUUUAAUUGAUAAAAUAAUAAUAAAAAGAUGUCCAUGUACUAAGAAAGAUAGUUUUGAAUACAUUAAUAAAAAUGUAGAAUGUGGUUAGAAAUUUUAAUACAACAUUAAAGAUUAUAAGCUUUAGUAUAUAAAGCAUUUACCGAAAAAACUGAAUAUUUUGUAGAGCUUUUUUUUUUUGUUCACCGAAUAUUUUGUAGAGGUUAUUAUAUAGAUUUUGAGAAUUUUUUUUUUAAAUGAUAAUAUUGGUUUAAUGCAUAGUUAUAUCAUGAACUAACAUAUGAUGAUGGUCAGAGAGGUUUUGAACCUUUGUUGUCUCCGUCUCUCUAGAAUAGUGAUUUUACUGUGGUUUGUCCACUAAUUUAGGAAGCAUAUAAAAUUUUACUAAAUUAAUUGAUAAAAAAAUAGAACGAUGCUCUUGUGCCAUGAAUGAUAGAAAUAUUAAAAUAAUGAAAGUGACAAUGAUAAAUUAAUUUUGGAAAAGCACAAAAAAAACCAAAAAAUCCUAUAACCUUAUAAGAGUC
Molecule: long non-coding RNA, 617 nt
Filed under: Brassica rapa (field mustard)
Lineage: Eukaryota; Viridiplantae; Streptophyta; Magnoliopsida; Brassicales; Brassicaceae
Description: long non-coding RNA (BRAP_LNC007999)
Source: RNAcentral